CUGCCGAGAAGUGGGGGAUAGCUCGCCGAAAGGCGAAUUAAUACCGCAUAUGAUCAGGGAAGACAUCUUUCCGACAUCAAAGCCGGGGCAACCUGGCGCUUUUUGAUGAGCCCGCGGCCUAUCAGCUAGUUGGUGAGGUAACGGCUCACCAAGGCAUUGACGGGUAGCUGGUCUGAGAGGACGACCAGUCACACUGGAACUGAGACACGGUCCAG
Molecule: ribosomal RNA, 215 nt
Filed under: uncultured bacterium
Lineage: Bacteria
Description: partial 16S ribosomal RNA
Rfam family: Bacterial small subunit ribosomal RNA
Source: RNAcentral